This is a long non-coding RNA of Cucumis sativus (cucumber), 261 nucleotides long. RefSeq lists it as uncharacterized. NCBI's taxonomy places the organism in Eukaryota, Viridiplantae, Streptophyta, Magnoliopsida, Cucurbitales, Cucurbitaceae. The record is from RefSeq and is a predicted model, not a curated record. The transcript is spliced from 2 exons.
UCCAUGUAAGCCGUACGCGAGCCAUACACAACUGAGUCGAUCCUGUGUGAGCCGUAUGCGAGCCGUGAGUCUCAAGACCCGAGCCGAAGCCUUGCUAGCCGAGCCACCUUCAGUUUUAGCCGUCUGCAACAUAUUUAAGCCCUUGGUUAAGGUGUGGUUGAGGAAUUGAAUUGUGCAAAUUUCAAUUUAAGGUUGUAUUGAGAUCAACUUUAAAUCUUUGGGGUAAGUUUGAUUGAAUUGGUUGCCUAAUUAAACAGUAAA